Molecule: ribosomal RNA, 433 nt
Filed under: uncultured bacterium
Lineage: Bacteria
Description: bacterial SSU rRNA
Rfam family: Bacterial small subunit ribosomal RNA
Source: RNAcentral
AAACUGCCAAGCUAGAGUGCAGGAGAGGUAAGUGGAUUCCUAGUGUAGCGGUGAAAUGCGUAGAUAUUAGGAGGAACACCAGUGGCGUAGGCGGCUUGUUAAGUCAGUGGUUAAAUCGUGUGGCUCAACCAUACUUCGCCAUUGAUACUGACAGGCUAGAAUAUGUCCGAGGAUGCUGGAAUGAGUGGUGUAGCGGUGAAAUGCAUAGAUAUCACUCAGAACACCGAUUGCGAAGGCAGGCAUCUGGGGCGUGAUUGACGCUGAGGCACGAAAGUGUGGGGAGCAAACAGGAUUAGAUACCCUGGUAGUCCACACUGUAAACGUUGGUCACUAGAUGUUCGGCCGCAAGGCUGAGUGUCCAAGGGAAACCGAUAAGUGACCCACCUGGGGAGUACGUUCGCAAGAAUGAAACUCAAAGGAAUUGACGGGGGGC